RNAcentral lists this ribosomal RNA (865 nucleotides) under Acinetobacter oleivorans. RNAcentral's name for it is "bacterial SSU rRNA". It matches the Rfam family "Bacterial small subunit ribosomal RNA", at positions 57 to 916 of the family's 1533-position model. The record is from RNAcentral. Lineage: Bacteria; Pseudomonadati; Pseudomonadota; Gammaproteobacteria; Moraxellales; Moraxellaceae.
GCAAGUCGAGCGGAGAGAGGUAGCUUGCUACUGAUCUUAGCGGCGGACGGGUGAGUAAUGCUUAGGAAUCUGCCUAUUAGUGGGGGACAACAUUUCGAAAGGAAUGCUAAUACCGCAUACGUCCUACGGGAGAAAGCAGGGGAUCUUCGGACCUUGCGCUAAUAGAUGAGCCUAAGUCGGAUUAGCUAGUUGGUGGGGUAAAGGCCUACCAAGGCGACGAUCUGUAGCGGGUCUGAGAGGAUGAUCCGCCACACUGGGACUGAGACACGGCCCAGACUCCUACGGGAGGCAGCAGUGGGGAAUAUUGGACAAUGGGCGGAAGCCUGAUCCAGCCAUGCCGCGUGUGUGAAGAAGGCCUUAUGGUUGUAAAGCACUUUAAGCGAGGAGGAGGCUACUUUAGUUAAUACCUAGAGAUAGUGGACGUUACUCGCAGAAUAAGCACCGGCUAACUCUGUGCCAGCAGCCGCGGUAAUACAGAGGGUGCAAGCGUUAAUCGGAUUUACUGGGCGUAAAGCGCGCGUAGGCGGCUAAUUAAGUCAAAUGUGAAAUCCCCGAGCUUAACUUGGGAAUUGCAUUCGAUACUGGUUAGCUAGAGUGUGGGAGAGGAUGGUAGAAUUCCAGGUGUAGCGGUGAAAUGCGUAGAGAUCUGGAGGAAUACCGAUGGCGAAGGCAGCCAUCUGGCCUAACACUGACGCUGAGGUGCGAAAGCAUGGGGAGCAAACAGGAUUAGAUACCCUGGUAGUCCAUGCCGUAAACGAUGUCUACUAGCCGUUGGGGCCUUUGAGGCUUUAGUGGCGCAGCUAACGCGAUAAGUAGACCGCCUGGGGAGUACGGUCGCAAGACUAAAACUCAAAUGAAUUGACGG